Mytilus californianus (California mussel) is the source of this 1127-nucleotide long non-coding RNA. RefSeq lists it as uncharacterized. NCBI's taxonomy places the organism in Eukaryota, Metazoa, Mollusca, Bivalvia, Mytilida, Mytilidae. The transcript has 2 exons. The record is from RefSeq and is a predicted model, not a curated record.
CCUUAAUAGUAGCCGUUGUCAAGUACGCUUUUCAUUCCAAUAGUGGCUCUUGAACUGAACACCAGUUAGGAUUAGAACAACCAGGCAACAGAUCAAUUCAACAUGAACGUCUGGAAAGCAACCAUUAGUGCAAUUAUUAUGGCAUUUGUUAUUUUAUGUGACCAUACUGUGGCUUCAAUUAAUCGGGAUGCUAUUUAUGGAAAUAUAGAAUUGCCAACGAGAGGUUCCGAACAAACAGAUAUUGAAAACGAGGCUGGAAACAGUGCUACAUGUAAAUUAUGCGCAAACGACGAUAUUGGUCUCAAAUAUAUAUGUCAAUCUUUCACACCUGAUGUUGACGGAUGUAUGAUGUAUGCCCUUAACAGUCUGCACAAAGCUUACAAAGCUGACUUGAAGGGUUCUUUCAGACGUACACGAAAACAGUUCUCCGUUAACGGUGCACUGUCCUCGAUCGCCAGUAUGCUCAAUGGAGAACAAACGAGAAGCAGAGACGCACUUCUGAGAUCCAGAAUUCAAAUGAUGGGUUAAUUCCAUUAAACUGUUACCUGUCAUAUACUGAAACAUUAUACUUUAAAAUAUUUUUUACAUCCUGUUUAUUGCUCACUGUUGUGGCAUUGCACAUUGGCACAUGAUUGAAGUAUUUUAUUUUCAUUUCAAUUUAAGAUAUGAAAUUAACACUGGCUCACACUGUUCAUGACCAAGGGAUAUACUAUUUGUAACGAACAAUAUACUAAAUGAUUCAUCAAUGUACUUAUACCAGCUGUUUGAGUUAUUAUUUGUUUACAAAUGAUAAGCCAUUUUGUUUCAUAUUUUUCAUCAUCAAGAGACUUGUAAUAUUUAUUUUUUCUGUGACAAUCUAUUUUUUAUUUCUUAUAUUUUAAGUUGAAAAUAAUUUACUAGAUUACUAACGAACUGAUUAUCAUAAAAAACUGUGUAAUUUUUCCGAGUUUCUUUGCCCAUAUCUUUAUAUGUAGGAAUUUUGAUUGCAGACAAACCGUCGACAUAUUUUUAAUGUAUGUAAUAUGUUCUUAUUGCAAAGAGGCAUCAGACAUUGAUAAUCCUUUUAGCACAUUCACCUGAAUCGUUCUAAGGUCACAUUGUUCAAUAAAAAAUUGUAAAACACCCUA